Long non-coding RNA from Cygnus olor (mute swan), 2514 nucleotides. RefSeq lists it as uncharacterized. NCBI's taxonomy places the organism in Eukaryota, Metazoa, Chordata, Aves, Anseriformes, Anatidae. The transcript is spliced from 11 exons. The record is from RefSeq and is a predicted model, not a curated record.
GUAGAGGGGGAAUAUAUUCAGCACUAGGGUGUAGGGAAGAACAGAAAAUCAAACAGGGCAUCUACUUAAGAAGAGCAUUAUUCUUUGUCCUUGAGGUUUGGGUUCUGCUACUGUUUCCAGACAAAUUCCAUGUGCCCAUGAGGAGCGCCCCAAACUGUAGGCCUGCAGCCUCCCCAGCCCUCAGGAGCUGCCAGGGCCGCACGGAAGGUGCUGGAAGCAGGCCGGGCCUGGUCCUGCUGCGCUGUGAGGCAGUGCUGUGUGUACAGCCCUCAAAGGCACGAGGACAGAGGGAAACGCGCUGUUCUCCGUAAGGUGCUCUUCAGGACACGGGCACGAAGGAAGUCCCUCUGAGCUGCUGAUCCCACAAAAAUCUGGAUUCUCUGGCUCAUAUUCCAUGAAAAACUUUGAUUAAAAGAAAAAGAUACAACGUACACCACAAACUGUUUCCCCAUGCUUCAGUGGUUACCUUCUUGACUGCAAACUAUUCCCAAGAACUAUGUGAGAAGUGAUGUGCCAUAACAUUGACAUGCCCAGUCUGGGAGCACAGAGCUAACCUGCAGAGCCACAAAACCAAGGCCUUCUUCCAUGGUGUUGUCAACUCUUGCUGGUAGAUGCCACACAGCUACAACAAAAAGCAAAAUCACACACUUUAAAGUGGAAGUUAUUACCUCAUACUGGUGUAAUUCAACAGGAAGCCAGAAAACUUCCUUCAAGGUAGAAGAUUUGGCAUGUGAACUCCAGACAGACUGCACACUCAACUAGCUGCUGCUGCUGGGCAAGGAAACUACAUGGGUGUGGUCCCAGCUAAGCCCAGCCACAUCUCUGCAGGGUGCUGACUGCUCUGGGAGGAGGAAAGCAUGAAACAGGAACAAUAGUUCUGUGUCCUUUGCAUGAGUAACAGAUGUUUUGAAAGAGCUGCAAGAGAUCAAGGGAGCCCUUAUCUGCAUAUGAUGUUCACAAAGGGCCUGCUGGAACAUCCAAGUCCAGUCUGCACUCGUGAAGCACCAGCUCUGCAGACUGUCAGGUGCAUUACAGCUUGUAUGGCUCUAUGGUUCUUCUGUAGACGAUUGCCAUCUGCGCUUAGAGGCAUUAUUAUCUUUCCAACAGAAGCCAAGGCUUCUUCCUUCACCCUUGCAAGUUCAAUGGGGCUUUUUUCCGAGGAACUCAGUUUAGGCCCCAGAUCCUGCAAGCUGAGAUAUUUAUACAGACUAAGCCCAGAGUCUCUGAGGAGCAACUAGGAUUACCAAACCAUUAAAUUUCAGUAAGAUGAGAAUUCUCUAGAUUCUGUGGAUUUUACAGCAGAGUUGCAGACUGACAGGCACUGUCAGCUGGGAGCUAAGCGUGGCUUCUCGUUCUCUGCUACCAGGAUGAGCAAACCUAUUAAACACGGAAUAGAGACUGAACCCAAAACUCAAAACUGAUGGUGUUUUCCGAAAUGGCCACGUACCAGCUGCAGUGCUGUUGGUUCACACAGAAUGGAAGAAUCUGUAUUUUGGUACCUGAAUAGAAACUGGUCAUCUUGGGCUUCUGAGUUUUUUGUUCCCUGUGUUAUAAAUAACUCUUAAUCAGGACAUGGCUUACAGAAAAGCAAGGAGUGAGAAGCUGGAAACAGAGCUCUUUUGGCUUCAGCUAGUGCUAUUAAAAGCCUGGGUGUUUGGAAAUGAACAUUUGGACUGUGCAUUGUAUCAUUGUUCUUCCUUGUAGCCAGUCUCUCUCCUCCCCUCUUGGAAUAAUUUACUUUUUUUUGUUUGUUUGUUUUUUUCAUCCAGGCCCCUCACUUGAAGCAAUGCUGAAUCCCACUUUAAAGAACUCACAGGGGUCUCCAAGUGGUGGUGGUGGGGGAGGGGCAGCUGCUUGUGAAAGGCACAGAGCCUCCAAGCAGAUGUUGCUGCUUCUCCAGCAAUAUGCAUUCAUAUCAGGAAAUGUAUUCCCUUCCUGGCUUCCUCCUUACAAGCAACUGUUAGUGAGUAAGAUGCCUUUGCUCUGUGUUCUGGUCAGUUUGCUAAUCUGAGCUGGUUAGAUGACAAACACAUGUGCAGUACUGCAUACAGGAGUAAUAUAACCCAGCUGGGUAUGAUGCGCUUUUCAGCGAAGCAUGGCUCAGUCUGAAACCUUAUUUGUCUUGUAUUUUAAUGCGGUGUCACCAAGAUAAUUACAAAGCAGAUAGUGUCCUGCUUGGCUUGAGGUGAGCAAACAUUAACAGUUUUUAUUAACCAAACCCAAGAGGUGAAUGCUGACAGAAUGGAAGCUGAAUGGAGUCAAUCAACACGCAUGGAGAAGAUGGGUGUGGCAGUGAGCGACAUGCAGCCUGUUGCUGAAGGCCUGGAUGAAAUCAGCAUCAUUCAGCGGUUGAUACUCUGCAAAAGCUUCAUAGACUCUGUACAAUAUAAGGCGGCUGUGCAGAUGGAAGUUGUUUUAUAUGUACCACAUAAAAAUUUUCUUAGUAAAACAAGCAGCCUCUUGUUGUUCCUUCAUGAAAUAAAAAUGGGCUGGUGCCUGUUUUCCAUUUUUGAC